GAUGAACGCUGGCGGCGUGCCUAAUACAUGCAAGUCGAGCGAACGGACGAGAAGCUUGCUUCUCUGAUGUUAGCGGCGGACGGGUGAGUAACACGUGGAUAACCUACCUAUAAGACUGGGAUAACUUCGGGAAACCGGAGCUAAUACCGGAUGAUAUUUUGAACCGCAUGGUUCAAAAGUGAAAGACGGUCUUGCUGUCACUUAUAGAUGGAUCCGCGCUGCAUUAGCUAGUUGGUAAGGUAACGGCUUACCAAGGCAACGAUGCAUAGCCGACCUGAGAGGGUGAUCGGCCACACUGGAACUGAGACACGGUCCAGACUCCUACGGGAGGCAGUAGUAGGGAAUCUUCCGCAAUGGGCGAAAGCCUGACGGAGCAACGCCGCGUGAGUGAUGAAGGUCUUCGGAUCGUAAAACUCUGUUAUUAGGGAAGAACAUAUGUGUAAGUAACUGUGCACAUCUUGACGGUACCUAAUCAGAAAGCCACGGCUAACUACGU
RNAcentral lists this ribosomal RNA (496 nucleotides) under uncultured bacterium. RNAcentral's name for it is "partial 16S ribosomal RNA". It matches the Rfam family "Bacterial small subunit ribosomal RNA", at positions 28 to 506 of the family's 1533-position model. The record is from RNAcentral.